RNAcentral lists this ribosomal RNA (209 nucleotides) under uncultured bacterium. RNAcentral's name for it is "partial 16S ribosomal RNA". It matches the Rfam family "Bacterial small subunit ribosomal RNA", at positions 524 to 729 of the family's 1533-position model. The record is from RNAcentral.
UACGGAGGGGGGCUAGCGUUGUUCGGAAUUAUUGGGCGUAAAGCGCUUGUAGGCGGCUUUGUUAAGUUCCGUGUGAAAUCCCCAGGCUUAACCUGGGAAGUGCGCGGAAAACUGGCGAGCUUGAAUGCCGGAGAGGGUCGCGGAAUUCCCGGUGUAGAGGUGAAAUUCGUAGAUAUCGGGGAGGAACACCAGUGGCGAAGGCGGCGACC